AUUGAACGCUGGCGGCAGGCUUAACACAUGCAAGUCGAGCGGUAACAGGGAGAAGCUUGCUUCUCUGCUGACGAGCGGCGGACGGGUGAGUAAUGCCUGGGGAAUCUGCCUGGUAGUGGGGGAUAACUUGCCGAAAGGUAAGCUAAUACCGCGUACGCCCCAUGGGGGAAAGCAGGGGAUCUUCGGACCUUGCGCUAUCAGAUGAGCCCAGGCCGGAUUAGCUUAGUUGGUGGGGUAAAGGCCUACCAAGGCGACGAUCCGUAACUGGUCUGAGAGGAUGAUCAGCCACACCGGGACUGAGACACGGCCCGGACUCCUACGGGAGGCAGCAGUGGGGAAUAUUGGACAAUGGGGGGAACCCUGAUCCAGCCAUGCCGCGUGUGUGAAGAAGUCUUCGGAUUGUAAAGCCACUUUAAGUUGGGAGGAAGGCUCUUGGUUAAUACCCGAGAGUUUGACGUUACCACCAGAAAAACCCCGGCUAACUUCGUGCCAGCAGCCGCGGUAAUACAAANGGUGCGAGCGUUAAUCGGAUUACUGGGCGUAAAGCGCGCGUAAGGAGGUUGUUUAAUUGGAAA
This 575-nucleotide ribosomal RNA is filed under the name uncultured bacterium. RNAcentral's name for it is "bacterial SSU rRNA". It matches the Rfam family "Bacterial small subunit ribosomal RNA", at positions 28 to 594 of the family's 1533-position model. The record is from RNAcentral.